GGAGUUAGCCGGUGCUUCUUCUGUGAGUGAUGUCCUUCCUGCCGGCUAUUAACCCGCAGGCCUUCUUCCUCACUGAAAGUGCUUUACAACCCGAAGGCCUUCUUCACACACGCGGCAUGGCUGGAUCAGGGUUGCCCCCAUUGUCCAAUAUUCCCCACUGCUGCCUCCCGUAGGAGUCUGGGCCGUGUCUCAGUCCCAGUGUGGCUGAUCAUCCUCUCAGACCAGCUACGGAUCGUCGCCUUGGUGAGCCGUUACCUCACCAACCAGCUAAUCCGACAUAGGCUCAUCCGAUAGCGCGAGGCCCGAAGGUCCCCCGCUUUCCCCCGUAGGGCGUAUGCGGUAUUAGCCUGGGUUUCCCCAGGUUAUCCCCCACUACCGGGCAGAUUCCUAUGCAUUACUCACCCGUCCGCCUCUCGCCACCAGGGAGCAAGCUCCCCGUGCUGCCGCUCGACUUGCAUGUGUUAGGCCUGCCGCCAGCGUUCAAUCUGAGCCAUGAUCAAACUCUGA
RNAcentral lists this ribosomal RNA (507 nucleotides) under uncultured bacterium. Its description in RNAcentral is "partial 16S ribosomal RNA". The record is from RNAcentral.